AUUGAACGCUGGCGGCAGGCCUAACACGUGCAAGUCGAACGGUAACAGGAAGAAGCUUGCUUCUUUGCUGACGAGUGGCGGACGGGUGAGUAGUGUCUGGGAAACUGCCUGAUGGAGGGGGAUAACUACUGGAAACGGUAGCUAAUACCGCAUAACGUCGCAAGACCAAAGAGGGGGACCUUCGGGCCUCUUGCCAUCGGAUGUGCCCAGAUGGGAUUAGCUAGUAGGUGGGGUAACGGCUCACCUAGGCGACGAUCCCUAGCUGGUCUGAGAGGAUGACCAGCCACACUGGAACUGAGACACGGUCCAGACUCCUACGGGAGGCAGCAGUGGGGAAUAUUGCACAAUGGGCGCAAGCCUGAUGCAGCCAUGCCGCGUGUAUGAAGAAGGCCUUCGGGUUGUAAAGUACUUUCAGCGGGGAGGAAGGGAGUAAAGUUAAUACCUUUGCUCAUUGACGUUACCCGCAGAAGAAGCACCGGCUAACUCCGUG
Molecule: ribosomal RNA, 490 nt
Filed under: uncultured bacterium
Lineage: Bacteria
Description: partial 16S ribosomal RNA
Rfam family: Bacterial small subunit ribosomal RNA
Source: RNAcentral